UACGUAGGGUCCAAGCGUUGUCCGGAAUUAUUGGGCGUAAAGAGCGUGUAGGCGGCUGGAUAGGUCCGUUGUGAAAACUCGAGGCUCAACCUCGAGACGCCGAUGGAAACCAUCCAGCUAGAGUCCGGAAGAGGAGAGUGGAAUUCCCGGUGUAGCGGUGAAAUGCGCAGAUAUCGGGAAGAACACCCGUGGCUAAGGCGGCUCUCUAGUACGGUACUGACGCUGAGACGCGAAAGCGUGGGGAGCAAACAGG
Molecule: ribosomal RNA, 253 nt
Filed under: uncultured bacterium
Lineage: Bacteria
Description: partial 16S ribosomal RNA
Rfam family: Bacterial small subunit ribosomal RNA
Source: RNAcentral